CUCGCCUACAUGAAGCUGGAGUUACUAGUAAUCGCAGAUCAGAAUGCUGCGGUGAAUGCGUUCCCGGGUCUUGUACACACCGCCCGUCACACCACGGGAGUUGGAGACGCCCGAAGCCGAUUAUCUAACCUUUUGGAAGAAGUCGUCGAAGGUGGAAUCAAUAACUGGGGUGAAGUCGUAACAAGGUAGCCGUAUCGGAAGGUGCGGCUGGAUCACCUCCUUU
RNAcentral lists this ribosomal RNA (223 nucleotides) under Clostridioides difficile. RNAcentral describes it as "partial 16S ribosomal RNA". It matches the Rfam family "Bacterial small subunit ribosomal RNA", at positions 1311 to 1533 of the family's 1533-position model. The record is from RNAcentral. Lineage: Bacteria; Bacillati; Bacillota; Clostridia; Peptostreptococcales; Peptostreptococcaceae.